AUUGAACGCUGGCGGCAUGCUUUACACAUGCAAGUCGGACGGCAGCACAGAGACGCUUGCUUCUUGGGUGGCGAGUGGCGCACGGGUGAGUAACAUAUCGGAACGUACCGAGCAGUGGGGGAUAACUAAUCGAAAGAUUAGCUAAUACCGCAUAUUUUCUGAGGAAGAAAGCAGGGGACCUUUGGGCCUUGCGCUGUUUGAGCGGCCGAUAUCUGAUUAGCUAGUUGGUGGGGUAAAGGCCUACCAAGGCGACGAUCAGUAGCGGGUCUGAGAGGAUGAUCCGCCACACUGGGACUGAGACACGGCCCAGACUCCUACGGGAGGCAGCAGUGGGGAAUUUUGGACAAAGGGCGCAAGCCUGAUCCAGCCAUGCCGCGUGUCUGAAGAAGGCCUUCGGGUUGUAAAGGACUUUUGUCAGGGAAGAAAAGGGCGGGGUUAAUACCCCUGUCUGAUGACGGUACCUGAAGAAUAAGCACCGGCUAACUACGUG
RNAcentral lists this ribosomal RNA (490 nucleotides) under uncultured bacterium. RNAcentral describes it as "partial 16S ribosomal RNA". It matches the Rfam family "Bacterial small subunit ribosomal RNA", at positions 30 to 507 of the family's 1533-position model. The record is from RNAcentral.